Molecule: ribosomal RNA, 400 nt
Filed under: Acinetobacter pittii
Lineage: Bacteria; Pseudomonadati; Pseudomonadota; Gammaproteobacteria; Moraxellales; Moraxellaceae
Description: bacterial SSU rRNA
Rfam family: Bacterial small subunit ribosomal RNA
Source: RNAcentral
CGCUGGCGGCAGGCUUAACACAUGCAAGUCGAGCGGAGAGAGGUAGCUUGCUACUGAUCUUAGCGGCGGACGGGUGAGUAAUGCUUAGGAAUCUGCCUAUUAGUGGGGGACAACAUUUCGAAAGGAAUGCUAAUACCGCAUACGUCCUACGGGAGAAAGCAGGGGAUCUUCGGACCUUGCGCUAAUAGAUGAGCCUAAGUCGGAUUAGCUAGUUGGUGGGGUAAAGGCCUACCAAGGCGACGAUCUGUAGCGGGUCUGAGAGGAUGAUCCGCCACACUGGGACUGAGACACGGCCCAGACUCCUACGGGAGGCAGCAGUGGGGAAUAUUGGACAAUGGGCGCAAGCCUGAUCCAGCCAUGCCGCGUGUGUGAAGAAGGCCUUAUGGUUGUAAAGCACUUU